Molecule: ribosomal RNA, 490 nt
Filed under: uncultured bacterium
Lineage: Bacteria
Description: partial 16S ribosomal RNA
Rfam family: Bacterial small subunit ribosomal RNA
Source: RNAcentral
AUUGAACGCUGGCGGCAGGCCUAACACAUGCAAGUCGAACGGUAACAGGAAACAGCUUGCUGUUUCGCUGACGAGUGGCGGACGGGUGAGUAAUGUCUGGGAAACUGCCUGAUGGAGGGGGAUACCUACUGGAAACGGUAGCUAAUACCGCAUAACGUCGCAGGACCAAAGAGGGGGACCCUCGGGCCUCUUGCCAUCGGAUGUGCCCAGAUGGGAUUAGCUUGUUGGUGGGGUAACGGCUCACCAAGGCGACGAUCCCUAGCUGGUCUGAGAGGAUGACCAGCCACACUGGAACUGAGACACGGUCCAGACUCCUACGGGAGGCAGCAGUGGGGAAUAUUGCACAAUGGGCGCAAGCCUGAUGCAGCCAUGCCGCGUGUAUGAAGAAGGCCUUCGGGUUGUAAAGUACUUUCAGCGGGGAGGAAGGGAGUAAAGUUAAUACCUUUGCUCAUUGACGUUACCCGCAGAAGAAGCACCGGCUAACUCCGUG